CUCCCCUUAUAGCCAUCCUCUCCACACCAUUAUUAUGAAAUGUUUUUUUUUCUUUUGGCCAUCCAAAAAAAGAAUUUAAGAUUCUUAUUGUCACGUUUUCAGAUUUUCGAACAUCUGUAACUCACAAYAAAAAGCAUACUUACCAUUCCCCCCUCUGUUUUUAAUCACAAGAAGCUAUUUCUCUUUUUCCCCCAUGCCAUGUGAAAUUCACAAAUACUCAACCCAUAAACAGUUCCAGCCAUUAUUGUUGGUUUGUGAGUUUCUGAUGGGUGCUGCAGACCCUGUCCCCAGGUCCCCCUUGCGAAUGAGUUAUAUGGGUCACUGGGUUUUUAUCUUAAAAAAGGGGAAUGAAUGUAAAUAUUUUUGUAUUUCUCUGGUGGCAGCUCACCUUUCAGCUCGUUUCGAAUGUUUCCUUGAAAUAAAAAAGGACAAAAGACAGUGUUCAGUGACAUUUGACCUUCCCAAAGCAAGGCUAACACUUUGUUACACUCUUUUAAGAAAUGAGUGAACUUUGAGUUGAUUCCUUUUAUUGCUGUUUAAAAUGUUGACCAAAGCCUGUGCACCACAGAGAAUUCACGUACGAGUAUGAGGAAGCCCAGAGGCAGCUUGUCAGGCACCCCCCCACCCCAGCAGAAAUGAGCAUUUAUGGAUGCAUUUAAAAGACAAAGCUGCACCGCAACUUCUCUGCGAGUCACAACAUGAGUCACACACCAAGUAUGGAUGUGUCUCUCCUUGGAAAUCUUUGCUGAAUAAAUGGAAAUCUGAUGACAUUC
This is a long non-coding RNA of Austrofundulus limnaeus, 773 nucleotides long. RefSeq lists it as uncharacterized. The transcript has 2 exons. NCBI's taxonomy places the organism in Eukaryota, Metazoa, Chordata, Actinopteri, Cyprinodontiformes, Rivulidae. The record is from RefSeq and is a predicted model, not a curated record.